Molecule: ribosomal RNA, 322 nt
Filed under: uncultured Sandonidae
Lineage: Eukaryota; Cercozoa; Glissomonadida; Viridiraptoridae
Description: SSU rRNA
Rfam family: Eukaryotic small subunit ribosomal RNA (bases 62-322)
Source: RNAcentral
GAUUUCUGGCCUGAAACAUUUUGCCGGCCACGGUUUCGUGUGUUAGUGCUUUGUGUUCUGGCCAUCCUUCCAAUCGCUGCGCACCUUUCUUCAUUGAUGGGUGUGUGGUAUUGGAUCUUUUACUUUGAAAAAAUUAGAGUGUUUCAAGCAGGCUUUAUGCUAUGAAUACAUUAGCAUGGAAUAAUAAUUUAGGACUUUGGUCUUAUUUUGUUGGUUUCUAGGACUAAAGUAAUGAUUGAUAGGGACAGUUGGGGGUGCUAGUAUUCAGCGGCCAGAGGUGAAAUUCUUGGAUUCGCUGAAGACUAACUUAUGCGAAAGCAUU